AUUGAACGCUGGCGGCAGGCCUAACACAUGCAAGUCGAGCGGAUGAAGGGAGCUUGCUCCUGGAUUCAGCGGCGGACGGGUGUGUAAUGCCUAGGAAUCUGCCUGGUAGUGGGGGAUAACGUCCGGAACCGGGCGCUAAUACCGCAUAAGUCCUGAGGGAGAAAGUGGGGGCUAUUCGGAACUCAUGCUCUCACAUGAUCCUAGGUCGGAUUAGCUGGUUGGUGGGGUAAAGGCCUACCAAGGCGACGAUCCGUAACUGGUCUGAGAGGAUGAUCAGUCACACUGGAACUGAGACACGGUCCAGACUCCUACGGGAGGCAGCAGUGGGGAAUAUUGGACAAUGGGCGAAAGCCUGAUCCAGCCAUGCCGCGUGUGUGAAGAAGGUCUUCGGAUUGUAAAGCACUUUAAGUUGGGAGGAAGGGCAGUAAGUUAAUACCUUGCUGUUUUGACGUUACCAACAGAAUAAGCACCGGCUAACUUCGUG
RNAcentral lists this ribosomal RNA (484 nucleotides) under uncultured bacterium. RNAcentral describes it as "partial 16S ribosomal RNA". It matches the Rfam family "Bacterial small subunit ribosomal RNA", at positions 30 to 507 of the family's 1533-position model. The record is from RNAcentral.